RNAcentral lists this ribosomal RNA (421 nucleotides) under uncultured bacterium. RNAcentral describes it as "bacterial SSU rRNA". It matches the Rfam family "Bacterial small subunit ribosomal RNA", at positions 28 to 457 of the family's 1533-position model. The record is from RNAcentral.
GACGAACGCUGGCGGCGUGCUUAACACAUGCAAGUCGAACGGUAAGGCCCUUCGGGUACACGAGUGGCGAACGGGUGAGUAACACGUGGGUGAUCUGCCCUGCACUUUGGGAUAAGCCUGGGAAACUGGGUCUAAUACCGAAUAUGACCAUGGACUUCACGGUUUGUGGUGGAAAGCUUUUGCGGUGUGGGAUGGGCCCGCGGCCUAUCAGCUUGUUGGUGGGGUAAUGGCCUACCAAGGCGACGACGGGUAGCCGGCCUGAGAGGGUGACCGGCCACACUGGGACUGAGAUACGGCCCAGACUCCUACGGGAGGCAGCAGUGGGGAAUAUUGCACAAUGGGCGCAAGCCUGAUGCAGCGACGCCGCGUGGGGGAUGACGGCCUGGUUGUAACGUACUUUCUACCAGGACGAAGCGAGAGU